This 71-nucleotide transfer RNA is filed under the name Candidatus Woesearchaeota archaeon. RNAcentral describes it as "tRNA-His". It matches the Rfam family "tRNA". From Rfam's summary of the family: Transfer RNA (tRNA) molecules are approximately 80 nucleotides in length. Their secondary structure includes four short double-helical elements and three loops (D, anti-codon, and T loops). The record is from RNAcentral. Lineage: Archaea; Nanobdellati; Candidatus Woesearchaeota.
GCGGUAGUAGUUUAGUGGCAGAAUUCGGGACUGUGGAUCCUGAGGCAGGGGUUCGAUUCUCCUCUACCGCC